RNAcentral lists this long non-coding RNA (2660 nucleotides) under Homo sapiens (human). Its description in RNAcentral is "non-protein coding lnc-CYP7B1-2:4". The record is from RNAcentral. Lineage: Eukaryota; Metazoa; Chordata; Mammalia; Primates; Hominidae.
ACUCUGUCCGCAGCAGGGGUAUGGGAGGCAGCUCGGGACACUCCAGGGACCAAGCGGGCAGUGGGCGCCGUCCCCGAGGAACACCCAGCCCAGCGCCCCUGGUUCUGGGCUGGUUGGCUUAUCGAGGCCGGUUGGCCAAAGCAUCAGGAAAGGGAACAUUCUCGGCCGGGUGUUGGAUACCAAAUUAUAAACGCCAGAGCACCUUGUGUAAAGAUGAAUAUCGUUUUGUUACUGCGGGAGGGAAUACACCUACUGCUUUGAAAGGAGUUUAAAAUAUUCAGCAGACAGCACCGCAUUGAAAUUAGUGCAUUGAGCUGCAGACCAAACUAAUUUCUAGAACAGUCUAAAAAGUAAAAACAAAGUUUGGCAAAAAUGACAACUUUGCUUGAGAACAGCUCUGGAAAAGCGAAUCCACUGAGAGCCGUGGGAAUUCUCCGCCAGCUGUGCUUCCCCAACCGAGGAAGAAUCCAACCCGGAAUAUCGUUUCUGGACCCCACCGCGGAGACCCCAGCUGGACCCUCUCCUGAAAACUGCCCGGGGAGGGGGGUGCGGUCUCAGCGCCCUCCACUGCGGGGUCCAAGGCGCAGUAGCGGGGCGCGACCCCAGCGCUCCAAGCCCAGCAUUCUUGGCAGCUCUCCAGGCCCCAGUCAGAGGCACAUUGACCUUGAAGUUGCACUUGACUCGCCCACUCGGGGCUGCCUGGUGGCGCCUGGGUCAGCUUGAAACCCACGCAGCUGAGGGAGCUAGGUGUGGGGUUCACCAUACUGCGCCCCCGCCGGAUUUGGGAGCGCGGGAUCUACUCGGAGGCAGAGAGAUUAGCCCCAGAGGUCAAGCCUUUCGGCGUCGUUUUGUCAUCUGUAUUUUCUCGUCCCCUUCGCCGCCGAGUCCUACAAAGCUCACUUCAGAGAGACUGGGUCCACAUGUGUGGGCUCAUGAGGAGGAGGACAGCGAGGGUGACGACGCUGGGGGACUAGCGCGAGCUGGCGCAUUCCUGGCAGUGAGCCAAGGGCCCCCCGUCUUGCUAGUCUUUCCAAGUUGCUUGGCAAUUCCAAAAAUUUCGACUGUGGGAAAGUUGAAACUUGUUCGUAUAGCGUUCUUUCGAAAAGAUUUUCCUUGUCUGUAUCUAUUUUACAGAAAACAUACUGGUCCUCACUACUGUUUGGGGACGAGUUAGCCUAAAUUUGAACAGACCUUGAAGACAAACCCUGAGCCCCGGGAGGCAGCCUUCUCAGCGCGAGGUGCACACACAAGUCCCCGAGCCCACCGCGAGGGUCUCACCUGGCUCCUGCGUGGUCUUUCCCCACUUUGGCGACUUUGAAGGCCAGGGGGACCGUACAGUGAGCGAAUAACUUAGCGCCUGCAUUAUCACUGCUGAAACCUCAGAGAACAAUGUAGGACAUGCGGGUGCAGGUAGAGCAAAACUAGUGAAAAGAGUUUAUGAGGAAUUCAUACCGCCUCGCCUACUUGGGACAACUCCUUCAUUCAGUUGUCCUCCCUAGGGGGCUGUUAUGCUUAUUUGUGUCAGACCCUUCUUUCCCCUGGAAUCUUAUCAUCACAGAAUAUUAAACAUUUGAAAAAAUUUUAAAGAUUAAACUUGUUCGAGGAAAAAAUGGUAAACACUGUUAGGGAUUGCCUGGCGUGCACAAAUUAAGGAAAGAAAGAAACUGAAAAUUUCAGCGCGGCUUUGGGAAUUUUUAGCUUUGCGAUUUAAAACCCACAGCGCCAUCUCCUGGUAAUGAGGAGAAUAUAGCGAUGGAUGACAAUACUGAAAUGCUGACUAUGAAAUACUCAAAUAUGAGAAACGCCUCAAAAAUUAUUUCAGUGAUAGGUUGAUUAUGAUUACAAAAUAUGAUCUGACAUGGACAUUUAUUAUCAUUAAAAGUUAUCAGACACAAUCCUGGAAGCUAAUUAUUUGUAAAUAGAAGUUUGUAUAUUUAUACAUACAUGUAUUUUAUAGAUUCAGACGCUUAUGCUGUGAAUUUACAAGAUAUGAUUCUAUAAUUUAUCAUAAAUACAUAAUUUUACAAAACAGUUCCCUGUUUUACUUUUUGUGAAUGAUUUUACCAUAUAUGGUAGAAAAAGAAUAAUAGGAUGUGGUGAUCUAUGGAGACAUAAAAUCUUCUAGAUCCUCAUUGUAUUUUACUAGUCAACAUUAAUAAAUACUUUAGCCCCAUUGUCUCAAUAACUUCUCACUUUAUCUAUGUCUUCUCAUCAUGCAAUCUUACAGAAUGUCUUACUGUCUUAAUGUUAAGACAUCAUGACAAAAAUGUGUUAACAUUAUUCAGACAUUCUGAUCCUGAAAUAUCAUCUGAAGUUAAAUUAUUUUCCAAAAGUUUAAUGCACAUAAUAGAAUCAUAAAUACUUAAUACUUUUCUAUUAAAAUGUUUCUGAAGUAUUCUUUCAAGCUUUUCUCCCUUUUAUAAAUAAGAUUGAAACACACUAAAAUUUAGAGAUGAUAUCCCUAUUAAAAACAUUUCUCCUCUAUGAUUGUAUACACAGGCCAGCUGCUUGAAAUAAAAAUAAAAGUAGAUAUGCUUUUUGUAGUGUACAAAAUAUUAUGAAUAUCCUUCAAAAUUGUAGAUCAAACAGACAAAUGUAAACUUCAGUUGAAAGAUUCAUUUUAUUUGAUUAAUUAAAGUGAAGAUCUAUUAAGCCAAAUA